This 465-nucleotide ribosomal RNA is filed under the name uncultured Klebsiella sp. RNAcentral describes it as "bacterial SSU rRNA". It matches the Rfam family "Bacterial small subunit ribosomal RNA", at positions 338 to 795 of the family's 1533-position model. Lineage: Bacteria; Pseudomonadati; Pseudomonadota; Gammaproteobacteria; Enterobacterales; Enterobacteriaceae. The record is from RNAcentral.
CCUACGGGCGGCUGCAGUGGGGAAUAUUGCACAAUGGGCGCAAGCCUGAUGCAGCCAUGCCGCGUGUGUGAAGAAGGCCUUCGGGUUGUAAAGCACUUUCAGCAGGGAGGAAGGCGUUAAGGUUAAUAACCUUGGCGAUUGACGUUACCCGCAGAAGAAGCACCGGCUAACUCCGUGCCAGCAGCCGCGGUAAUACGGAGGGUGCAAGCGUUAAUCGGAAUUACUGGGCGUAAAGCGCACGCAGGCGGUCUGUCAAGUCGGAUGUGAAAUCCCCGGGCUCAACCUGGGAACUGCAUUCGAAACUGGCAGGCUAGAGUCUUGUAGAGGGGGGUAGAAUGCCAGGUGUAGCGGUGAAAUGCGUAGAGAUCUGGAGGAAUACCGGUGGCGAAGGCGGCCCCCUGGACAAAGACUGACGCGCAGGUGCGAAAGCGUGGGGAGCAAACAGGAUUAGAUACCCGGGGAGUC